AAACAAUUAUCAAAAGAUAAAAAUUUCAAUACACAAAUACGCAUUCAUAGCUGUUUAACAACUUUACGCCAUAUAGAAAAAUCAUCAAAGUUAGUCAUACAAAUGUAACGGAGUCAUCUCGAAACAAACGAAUGAAAAGUAAAAUGUACAAGGAUAAUUCAUCUUUCUUCAAAUUCUUCCAAACAAUCAGUAACCAUAGCAUCCAUCCAUUCAGUCACCAAAUAUCCCAACCCCAAUAAAGCACUUUCAUCCAAACACUCGAAUGACUUUUUCCCUGUCGCAAGCAUGUAUUCUGUUGCAAAAUCCUGGAUGCUAUGAACUAAAUCCUAAACAUAAAAAGAUUAGUUAAACAAGUAUUGGCAGAAGCUGUGAACUUACAGGAUCCGGCAGUUCAUGUGGAAUUGGAACAGAAAAAUCCUGUACUAAAUCACGAGCUCUGUAAGACAAUUCACCAUCAGCAUUCACCAAAUUAUACAAAGUUGGCCGAGUUGGUGGAUUUGACAUUAAUAGAUGGCGUUGGACGUAGAGUAUGUACUAUGCUAGGUGAAGCUUCUAAUUCGUCCUUGCAGUAGUACAAUCAUAUUUGGAAACACCAAGCUCAAGUAAUGGAAUCCCCACAUUCUUAAAAGUUAACUGCGACUUACAGAAAAUUUAUCUCGAGGUUUACAGACAUACUGAAAAAAUAGUUCAGGCUUUACGACAUAACAACAAAACAACUUUACACAGAUACAAUCCAAACCAUAUUAUAUUGACCCAAUACUUAAUUAAAGUGGGUUAUUAAUAAAACGUAAAGAACCUUUUCGCCAUUUUUGAAAGGGGAAUUUUUUUUCUGUCAUAUACAGAUUUAAUCUAAUACUAUUUAUCGGUCCUGCCGCGUAAAAAGACAGAAUGUUGAUAAAAAUGCAGAAGGAAAUCGAAUGGUCGAUAUAGACCAUCCGUUGACCACAAUCGUUCAUUACCGCCUAGCAUGAACAAUAGAAAUAUGUUAAAAAAUUUCGGAAACAGCGGAGCAGGGUUCGAGAGGGAAAGUAGUUGCUCUAAAUAUGAGCUUUUGAUAGCUCAUCAGCAAGUUCUUUGUCUUCUUUUUCUUCUUCAGAAGUCUCCGGCUCAGGGCUUUGAGACUCAGCUUCUUCUUCUUCAUCCUCCUCCUCCUCGUCGGUAAGUUCCUCCAUAUCAUCAAGCUCAUCUAGUUCACCACGACCACGGGUGCUAAAGACUUCACGUAUUUCAUCAACAACAUCGUCUUCUUCCGAAAAUCUGUUUCCAUUUAAUUCAAGGAAUAAAAGAUCCGGCAUUUUCUCAUCAAUCACAGUUUUUAGGGUCCGGACAGCAUCCAGCUCUAUCUCGUUAUACUGUAAGCGUAACGUUUGAAGCCCAAUAUUUUCUAAUUUAGAAAAAGCAUCUACAACUGCGGCAGCACCGCGAGCAGAUAAGAGACAAUCGUUGAGGCCUAGUUCUCGAAGGUUGGGCCAGCUUUUCAACGCGAUAGCGAGAGCGCUAGAGCCCAAGUGCGUAAAUGUGUUAUCUUGAAGAUCGAGUACCUUUAGCUCUUGGCAAUAUGCUAAUCCUUCAAGCAAUAAGUGUUCAAUACCUUCGGGACGGAUACCAUUUUGCACCAUUUUCACUGUAUGUAGCAAACGGUGGCUCUGGAAAGUUUUAGCCCAUUCUUUCAUACUCCCAUUUUCUAAACGAUUUCUUCCACAAAUAAUGGAACGCAAGGGAGGUGCAUUUUUAGCUUUCUUGUUGACCGCCAGCUCUUGCAAGGCACGAGCAAUUUUUGCGCCAGCUUGAGGACCGAGUCCAUUAUUGUGUAGGUAAAGAUGCUCCAAAGGUGUGUGUUUUGAAAGAAAGUCAAUCAAGGGCUCCUGUGCAGUAGGGCCAAAGGCAUUAUCGCUCAAUCUUACAGUAUGUAGUUUUGGGCACUUGAGUAAAGCUUGUAGCAACAGACGUAAAGCCUCAGGAAUUUCAUCUUUGACACGUCCAGUAAAGAUAUCACUAAACUCUGCAAUUUCUAAAUCUUUUUUUGAGGCAAUAUUCUCUGACAACCAUCUAGCAGCUUCGGUUCCAAUUGUGUUACCAGACAAUACAAUUUCCUUUACAGAAUCAUCUUCUAACAGAACAGCAAAUACAGACUUCUCGUCUUCAGUUGUAAUUGCAUCUAAUUUCAAAGACUUCCCUUCUAUUGAAAAACGCGACAUGGAGUUGGUUGUUGAAAGAAAAAAUAUAGCAGGUAUGGUGGUGAGGAAAGAUUGUGUGAACUAGCUGUGUAUGUUAAAUUUGAUCGAGGAUAGAUGCUUCAGUCACUUGAAUUCAUGGCUUUUAAAAAAGAAACUAAAAUAAUAUUCAAAGUAGAAGAAGAACGAAAUUUAUCCUCUUUUGACGGAUACCCCCUUUACUCAACCUGUUUUUAUUUACAAACUCAAAUGCGAUCUCUCGCUAAUGAGUUUAAUUUUAAGACGAUUCUAUGCUAUUAGAAGUCAUUUAAAUUAUUAGAUCAGAUUAGCGCAAACCGAAAGAUACUCAAUGUCGGAGUGGUGCAUUAGUGCUCGGAUACGUUCCUGAAAGACAUGUAUAAAACUUUUGUAAAUAGGAUGAUUGAGCUUUUUUGACAUUUAUCUAUCAUUCAUUUUUGAAAAAAUAGCUGUGACAAUCCUGUUGCAUAUAGUUUGUUUUUUUGACUAAGUAUAGAGGAUCUUAUGAAGAACCUUUUUGAGUGACCUUAGUCCUGAAUUCUUAGCUUAAGUUUGCUUUAACUUAAUUGCAUUUCUAGCAAUUAACAUUGCUAGAUUUUUGCCUCAUCGCUAGUCCAUUUAUAAGAAUACGAAGUUGAACGAAGGAAUAUUGACCAAAAGAGCUUGGUGACUUCCAAAAAAUGAAGAAUCAAAAAGAUCUGAAAUGAGUAUCCCUAUCUUUCAGCUUUCCGCUUGUUUCGUGAUCAUUUCAGUUACUCACACAUAUACAUUUAUGAGUUGACCCAAAAAGAAAAUCGGAAAGCGGGAGUUUAACAGAUAUAUGAAAAAUCAAGAUAAUAACAACAAUUGAUAUUUUUAGUUUAACAUUUCUUAUUCAUUACUGUGAAAAUCCACGAGUCUGCACUCUAGACACAUAGAAUACUCUUUAAACAGCUUUCACAUUAUCAGGAA
Molecule: non-coding RNA, 3143 nt
Organism: Schizosaccharomyces pombe (fission yeast)
Lineage: Eukaryota; Fungi; Ascomycota; Schizosaccharomycetes; Schizosaccharomycetales; Schizosaccharomycetaceae
Source: the annotation of a GenBank genome assembly